This 499-nucleotide ribosomal RNA is filed under the name uncultured bacterium. RNAcentral describes it as "partial 16S ribosomal RNA". It matches the Rfam family "Bacterial small subunit ribosomal RNA", at positions 28 to 507 of the family's 1533-position model. The record is from RNAcentral.
GACGAACGCUGGCGGCGUGCCUAAUACAUGCAAGUCGAGCGAAGUUUUUCUGGUGCUUGCACCGGAAAAACUUAGCGGCGAACGGGUGAGUAACACGUAAAGAACCUGCCUCAUAGACUGGGACAACUAUUGGAAACGAUAGCUAAUACCGGAUAACAGCAUUAACUGCAUGGUUGAUGUUUAAAAGUUGGUUUUGCUAACACUAUGAGAUGGCUUUGCGGUGCAUUAGCUAGUUGGUGGGGUAAAGGCCUACCAAGGCGACGAUGCAUAGCCGACCUGAGAGGGUGAUCGGCCACACUGGGACUGAGCCACGGCCCAGACUCCUACGGGAGGCAGCAGUAGGGAAUCUUCCGCAAUGGGCGAAAGCCUGACGGAGCAACGCCGCGUGAGUGAAGAAGGACUUCGGUUCGUAAAGCUCUGUUGUUAGGGAAGAAUGAUUGUGUAGUAACUAUACACAGUAGAGACGGUACCUAACCAGAAAGCCACGGCUAACUACGUG